Molecule: regulatory RNA element, 114 nt
Organism: Scleropages formosus (Asian bonytongue)
Lineage: Eukaryota; Metazoa; Chordata; Actinopteri; Osteoglossiformes; Osteoglossidae
Rfam family: Potassium channel RNA editing signal
About the family: This family represents a group of sequences related to the human potassium channel Kv1.1 hairpin element which directs the efficient modification of an adenosine to inosine by an adenosine deaminase acting on RNA (ADAR). The ADAR modification causes an isoleucine/valine recoding event which lies in the ion-conducting pore of the potassium channel.
Source: Rfam
GUAGGCUAUGGCGAUAUUUAUCCACAAACACUGCUGGGCAAAAUAGUUGGUGGACUUUGCUGCAUUGCAGGUGUGUUAGUCAUAGCCUUACCCAUACCCAUCAUUGUGAACAAC